CUAGCUGCUUCCCACCAGCCAAUCAGCGCACGAGGGCACGCCCCUUUCCCUAGCCGGCACGCCUGGAAGCCCAAUCAGAGGCCGGCUGCUGUCACGUCAGGCGACCUCUAUGCCCCGCCCCACGACUCAGCAGGGAGGGGCUGGACCCAAGGGGCGGAGCUGCUGGGAGGAGCAACGAAUCUUGUGGUCCAGGCUGCUGGGCCAUGCCGGAGGACAUGAUCCCUCGAGUUGCUUAUCCUUAUUGUGACUAUGAAGAUGCUGAAGAUGGCAGAGCAGAAGGAUAGAGAAAACCUAGUUCCUUGAUGCUGUGGAGCUGCUGACUUAUCACAAUCAGGAAACUUCCUACCUCAGACUUAUGUAAGGACAAUCUGUGAACCAGCAGCUGCAAAUCACCCAGGAGCUUUUUAGAAAGGCACGAUCUCAGGCCCACCACAGAGCCACUGAAUCAGAUUCUGCACUUUACAAGGUCCCUAAGAAAUGUCUGUACACAAUAGAAUCUGGGAAGCACUGAGCUAAAGUGAAAAUACAAAGGCAGCAAUGGGAUCUGUUAGUACCAUCUGAUGGAAGUCUGGUUACCGUUUGUUGUUAAAAUAGUUUAGUCUUAUCUGAUUGCUGGUGAGUUUGAGGUGCUCAGCUUGAGACUUUGGCACAUGGUGAAAAGAGUCUGUCCAUCAAGGAAGGGCACAGAUCCUGCACCAGCAGAGGUUCAGGCCAUCUCUUCCACUGCUAAGUCCUCUAGCCACAUGUCCUUUGAUGAACCUAACACCUUAACACAAGGUUAAGGGGAAUUAAUUGGAAAAGGCUCUGGAAUGGAA
This is a non-coding RNA of Odocoileus virginianus texanus, 815 nucleotides long. The record is from RefSeq and is a predicted model, not a curated record. Lineage: Eukaryota; Metazoa; Chordata; Mammalia; Artiodactyla; Cervidae.